Molecule: ribosomal RNA, 461 nt
Filed under: uncultured bacterium
Lineage: Bacteria
Description: partial 16S ribosomal RNA
Rfam family: Bacterial small subunit ribosomal RNA
Source: RNAcentral
GAUAAACGCUGGCGGCGUGCCUUAUGCAUGCAAGUCGUACGUGAGACCGGCUUCGGCCGGUUGAAAGUGGCGAACGGGUGAGUAACACGUAGGAACCUGCCCGGAAGUAGGGGAUAACUCCGCGAAAGCGGGGCUAAUACCGCAUGUGGUCGCAAGACCAAAGCUUCGGCGCUUCCGGAGGGGCCUGCGGCGGAUUAGCUAGUUGGUGGGGUAACGGCCUACCAAGGCGACGAUCCGUAGCUGGUCUGAGAGGAUGGUCAGCCACACUGGAACUGAGACACGGUCCAGACUCCUACGGGAGGCAGCAGCAAGGAAUUUUGCGCAAUGGGCGAAAGCCUGACGCAGCAACGCCGCGUGGGGGAAGAAGGCCUUCGGGUUGUAAACCCCUUUUGCGAGGGAAGAAGAUCUGACGGUACCUCGCGAAUAAGCCACGGCUAACUACGUGCCAGCAGCCGCGGUAA